UCGGGAAUUUUGGGCAAUGGGCGAAAGCCUGACCCAGCAACGCCGCGUGAGGGAUGAAGUAUUUCGGUAUGUAAACCUCGAAAGAAUGGGAAGAAUAAAUGACGGUACCAUUUAUAAGCUCCGGCUAACUACGUGCCAGCAGCCGCGGUAAUACGUAGGGAGCAAGCGUUGUUCGGAUUUACUGGGCGUAAAGGGCGCGUAGGCGGCGCGGUAAGUCACUUGUGAAAUCUCUGAGCUUAACUCAGAACGGCCAAGUGAUACUGCUGUGCUAGAGUGCGGAAGAGGCAACCGGAAUUCUUGGUGUAGCGGUGAAACGCGUAGAUAUCAAGAGGAACACCUGAGGCGAAGGCGGGUUGCUGGGCCGACACUGACGCUGAUGCGCGAAAGCCAGGGGAGUAAACG
RNAcentral lists this ribosomal RNA (402 nucleotides) under uncultured bacterium. RNAcentral describes it as "bacterial SSU rRNA". It matches the Rfam family "Bacterial small subunit ribosomal RNA", at positions 355 to 774 of the family's 1533-position model. The record is from RNAcentral.